Molecule: ribosomal RNA, 863 nt
Filed under: Microbacterium sp. D111
Lineage: Bacteria; Bacillati; Actinomycetota; Actinomycetes; Micrococcales; Microbacteriaceae
Description: bacterial SSU rRNA
Rfam family: Bacterial small subunit ribosomal RNA
Source: RNAcentral
UGCAAGUCGAACGGUGAACACGGAGCUUGCUCUGUGGGAUCAGUGGCGAACGGGUGAGUAACACGUGAGCAACCUGCCCCUGACUCUGGGAUAAGCGCUGGAAACGGCGUCUAAUACUGGAUAUGUGACGUGACCGCAUGGUCUGCGUCUGGAAAGAAUUUCGGUUGGGGAUGGGCUCGCGGCCUAUCAGCUUGUUGGUGAGGUAAUGGCUCACCAAGGCGUCGACGGGUAGCCGGCCUGAGAGGGUGACCGGCCACACUGGGACUGAGACACGGCCCAGACUCCUACGGGAGGCAGCAGUGGGGAAUAUUGCACAAUGGGCGCAAGCCUGAUGCAGCAACGCCGCGUGAGGGACGACGGCCUUCGGGUUGUAAACCUCUUUUAGCAGGGAAGAAGCGAAAGUGACGGUACCUGCAGAAAAAGCGCCGGCUAACUACGUGCCAGCAGCCGCGGUAAUACGUAGGGCGCAAGCGUUAUCCGGAAUUAUUGGGCGUAAAGAGCUCGUAGGCGGUUUGUCGCGUCUGCUGUGAAAUCCGGAGGCUCAACCUCCGGCCUGCAGUGGGUACGGGCAGACUAGAGUGCGGUAGGGGAGAUUGGAAUUCCUGGUGUAGCGGUGGAAUGCGCAGAUAUCAGGAGGAACACCGAUGGCGAAGGCAGAUCUCUGGGCCGUAACUGACGCUGAGGAGCGAAAGGGUGGGGAGCAAACAGGCUUAGAUACCCUGGUAGUCCACCCCGUAAACGUUGGGAACUAGUUGUGGGGUCCAUUCCACGGAUUCCGUGACGCAGCUAACGCAUUAAGUUCCCCGCCUGGGGAGUACGGCCGCAAGGCUAAAACUCAAAGGAAUUGACGGGGACCCGCACAA